AGAAUCAACGCUGGCGGCGUGCCUAACACAUGCAAGUCGCACGAGAAAGGAGAGCAAUCUCUGAGUAAAGUGGCGCACGGGUGAGUAACACGUGAAUUAUCUACCUCCGAGUGGGGAAUAACCUAGAGAAAUCUGGGCUAAUACCGCAUAACACUUACGAGUCAAAGCAGCAAUGUGCUUGGAGAGGAGUUCGCGGCCGAUUAGCUAGUUGGCGGGGUAAUGGCCCACAAGGCGAUGAUCGGUA
Molecule: ribosomal RNA, 244 nt
Filed under: uncultured bacterium
Lineage: Bacteria
Description: partial small subunit ribosomal RNA
Rfam family: Bacterial small subunit ribosomal RNA
Source: RNAcentral